UGGGGAAUAUUGCACAAUGGGCGAAAGCCUGAUGCAGCGACGCCGCGUGAGGGAUGACGGCCUUCGGGUUGUAAACCUCUUUCAGCAGGGAAGAAGCGAAAGUGACGGUACCUGCAGAAGAAGCGCCGGCUAACUACGUGCCAGCAGCCGCGGUAAUACGUAGGGCGCAAGCGUUGUCCGGAAUUAUUGGGCGUAAAGAGCUCGUAGGCGGUUAGUCGCGUCUGCUGUGAAAAUCUCGAGGCUCAACCUCGGGCUUGCAGUGGGUACGGGCUGACUAGAGUGCGGUAGGGGGUGACUGGAAUUCCUGGUGUAGCGGUGGAAUGCGCAGAUAUCAGGAGGAACACCGAUGGCGAAGGCAGGUCACUGGGCCGCAACUGACGCUGAGGAGCGAAAGCAUGGGGAGCGAACAGGAUUAGAUACCCUGGUAGUCCAUGCCGUAAACGUUGGGCACUAGGUGUGGGGUCCAUUCCACGGAUUCCGUGCCGCAGC
Molecule: ribosomal RNA, 489 nt
Filed under: uncultured bacterium
Lineage: Bacteria
Description: partial 16S ribosomal RNA
Rfam family: Bacterial small subunit ribosomal RNA
Source: RNAcentral